UCCCUGGUGGUCCAGUGGCUAAGACUCUGUGCUCCCAAUGCAGGGAGCCCAGGUUCAAUCCCUGGUCAGGGAA
Molecule: transfer RNA, 73 nt
Filed under: Delphinapterus leucas (beluga whale)
Lineage: Eukaryota; Metazoa; Chordata; Mammalia; Artiodactyla; Monodontidae
Also listed under: 8 other names
Rfam family: tRNA
About the family: Transfer RNA (tRNA) molecules are approximately 80 nucleotides in length. Their secondary structure includes four short double-helical elements and three loops (D, anti-codon, and T loops).
Source: Rfam by way of RNAcentral